GGAACAGAGAUUUCUAGCGGGAUUGGGGCUUUGAGGGAGAAUGCUGCGCAGGACCGUCUCCUUCCCCAUUGAGGCGGGGCGGCUGCAGCAGCUGGGUCUAUUGGACUGUGCCUCCCACGGUGUGACAUCAUGCUCGGUGCUCGACCUCCCGUCUCUCCACCGAGGUCACCGGGGUUCACGACAACGGGAGGAUGAGUGGCAGGGCCGGUACCAGGGGCCUGCCGAGGCUGGCCAAUGGGAGGAUGAGCGGCAGGGCCGGUACCAGGGGCCUGCCGAGGCUGGCCAAUGGGAGGAUGACGGUGGGUUAGUGGUCACACCCUCUUCUAAUGGUAGCACCAGGGGACCCAGAUGGAAAGAUUUGUAUACCAGCUCAGACCAGCUAAGGUGAACAUACACACACACAGUUAUAGCCAUAGCCUUAAUCUAUCUGCUCAAAUCUGUGUGUCCACACAUUUCGCUGCUCUGUGUGUGUGUGUUUAGGUCAGACUCAGUGGAAGAUGAUAGCUAUGAAUAUGAAGGUGAGUUUUUCAUUGGUUAUUGGCUGCUCUUUACGACCAAUUAAAAGGUGUGGGUGUGGGUGUCUGUUUUGAUGUUUUGUGCGUGUUUCAGAGGGGAAGCAGAAUGGUGAGUCUGUCAGGCUGUACGUGUCAGAGGAAGAGAGGAUCCUCAACUCUGCAGACCUGUAAGGGCCUUACACCCAGACGACUCCUAGCGAAUCAAAUUGUAUUUGUCACAUGUGCUGAAUACAACAGGUGUAGACUUUUCUGUGAAAUCUUACUCACGAGCCCUUUCCCAACAAUGCACAGUUAAAAAGAAAGAAGAAUUUGCUACGAGGUUGCAAAGGUGAGGUAAUAUGUACAUGUAGAUAGGGGUAAACAUGACUAGGCAAUCAGGAUAUAUAAUAAUCAAAAUAAACUUUAUUUUUCACAUGUGCCGAAUACAACAAGUGUAGACCUUACCGUUAAAUGCUUACUUACAAGCCCUUAACCAACAGUGCAGCUCAAGAAGAGUUCCAGAUUUUUUUUAACCAAAUUAAAGUAAAAAAGUAUAAAAUUAACACAAUAAAAUAACAAUAAUGAGGCUAAAUACAGGGGGCACCGGUACCGAGUCAGUGUGCGGGGGCACAGGUUUGUUGAGGUAAUUUGUACAUGUAGGUAGGGGUGAAGUGACUAUGCAUAGAUAAAACAUUUUGAAAAAAAGCUGAGAUAAUAAGCAGAGUAGCAGCAGCAUGUAAAAGUCUGUCUGUGGCUUCAAUGUGAGAGUGUCAGUGUGGAAUGGGUAUAGUCCAAUCAGUGUGCAUAGAGACAGUACAAAUGGGGGGGGUCAAUGCAAAUAGUCCGGGAAGCAAUUGAAUUAACUGUUCAGCAGUCUUAUGGCUUGGGGAAAGAAGCUGUUAAGGAGCCUUUUGGUCCCAGACUUGGCGCUCCGGUACCGCUUGCCGUGCAGUAGCAGAUAGAACAGUCUAUGACUUGGGUGGUUAAAGUCUUUCACUAUUUUUAGGGCCUUCCUCUGACACCGCCUGGUAUAGAGGUCCUAGAUGGCAGGGAGCUUGGCCUCAGGGAUGUACUGGUCUGUACACAAUACUCUCUGUAGCGCUUUGCGGUCAGAUGCCAAGCAGUUGCAAUACCAAGAGGUGAUGCAGCCAGUCAAUAUGGAACCUUUUGAGGAUCUGAGGGCUCACGGCAAAUUUUUUCAGCCUCCUGAGGGCGAAGAGGCUUUGUCGUGCCCUCUUCACAACUGUGUUGGUGUGUUUAGACCAUGAUAGGUCCUUCGUGAUCUGGACAUCAAGGCUGUUGUGAUAGCAGUUUGUGUACUCACCACUUUCUAACUUGUGUGUUUGUAGGAGUUCAGAGGAGAGGCGUGAUGUUCUAGCAGAGUUGGUGUAUUCCCGAAGCAGACUGAAGCAAUUGAACUCAGAGCUGCAGAGAACAGUAGAGGUAGCCGAUGACAACAACACACUGCUACGCACCGAGAACACUGCCCUGCGCAACCAAGUCAAAGGGUAACCAUAUUAGCAACCACACACACUGCCCUGCACAACCAAGUCAAAUGUAACCAUCAAUCAGUCAGGCUGUUCA
Molecule: long non-coding RNA, 2078 nt
Filed under: Oncorhynchus mykiss (rainbow trout)
Lineage: Eukaryota; Metazoa; Chordata; Actinopteri; Salmoniformes; Salmonidae
Description: lncRNA (ENSOMYG00000010805.2)
Source: RNAcentral